Molecule: transfer RNA, 72 nt
Filed under: Stegodyphus dumicola
Lineage: Eukaryota; Metazoa; Arthropoda; Arachnida; Araneae; Eresidae
Description: tRNA-Asp
Rfam family: tRNA
About the family: Transfer RNA (tRNA) molecules are approximately 80 nucleotides in length. Their secondary structure includes four short double-helical elements and three loops (D, anti-codon, and T loops).
Source: RNAcentral
UCCUCGGUAGUAUAGUGGUGAGUAUCCCCGCCUGUCACGCGGGAGACCGGUGUUCGAUUCCCCGUCGGGGAG